UGAAUGCAUUAUAAUUUUUUCCAUUUAAGUUAAUGAUAAUUUAUUCCCUGAUUUAUGAGAAUUCAAUUUAUGAACAUUUUUUCCAAAAAUCUUGUAAAUCAAGUUGACCUGUAUAUGCAAGUUUUGCAUUACAUAUUGAUGUGGGAAUUGCAGCCAAUAUUUGAUCACAAAGUAAUAGUCUUGAGCAGUUUAGAAAAGCAUAAGGUCUUUGGUACAAGACAUCCAGAGCACAAUAAACAAAAGAAUGGAAGAGAUGAUAAAAGAUAUUUAAAAUGGAUAUAUUAUACUAGAAAUAUUAUAUUGAAAAGAAAAUAGUGCCAAAAUAUCAACCAUUAUAUCUAUUUUGGAGAGAUGUUUUCUAAAUCCCUACAUAACAGAAGGAAGAAUGAUGAGCUUUUUUGGAAGUGGAAAACUUGAUCUAGGUUUU
RNAcentral lists this long non-coding RNA (427 nucleotides) under Androctonus crassicauda. The record is from RNAcentral. Lineage: Eukaryota; Metazoa; Arthropoda; Arachnida; Scorpiones; Buthidae.